RNAcentral lists this ribosomal RNA (253 nucleotides) under uncultured bacterium. RNAcentral describes it as "partial 16S ribosomal RNA". It matches the Rfam family "Bacterial small subunit ribosomal RNA", at positions 524 to 776 of the family's 1533-position model. The record is from RNAcentral.
UACAGAGGAUGCAAGCGUUAUCCGGAAUGAUUGGGCGUAAAGCGUCUGUAGGUGGCUUUUUAAGUCCGCCGUCAAAUCCCAGGGCUCAACUCUGGACAGGCGGUGGAAACUACCAAGCUGGAGUACGGUAGGGGCAGAGGGAAUUUCCGGUGGAGCGGUGAAAUGCGUAGAGAUGUGGAGGAACACCGAUGGCGAAGGCAGCCCCCUGGGGUAACACUGACGCUCAUGCACGAAAGCGUGGGGAGCAAACAGG